UUGAUCCUGGCUCAGGACGAACGCUGGCGGCGUGCCUAAUACAUGCAAGUCGAACGCUUCUUUCCUCCCGAGUGCUUGCACUCAAUUGGAAAGAGGAGUGGCGGACGGGUGAGUAACACGUGGGUAACCUACCCAUCAGAGGGGGAUAACACUUGGAAACAGGUGCUAAUACCGCAUAACAGUUUAUGCCGCAUGGCAUAAGAGUGAAAGGCGCUUUCGGGUGUCGCUGAUGGAUGGACCCGCGGUGCAUUAGCUAGUUGGUGAGGUAACGGCUCACCAAGGCCACGAUGCAUAGCCGACCUGAGAGGGUGAUCGGCCACACUGGGACUGAGACACGGCCCAGACUCCUACGGGAGGCAGCAGUAGGGAAUCUUCGGCAAUGGACGAAAGUCUGACCGAGCAACGCCGCGUGAGUGAAGAAGGUUUUCGGAUCGUAAAACUCUGUUGUUAGAGAAGAACAAGGACGUUAGUAACUGAACGUCCCCUGACGGUAUCUAACCAGAAAGCCACGGCUAACUACGUGCCAGCAGCCGCGG
RNAcentral lists this ribosomal RNA (536 nucleotides) under Enterococcus faecalis. RNAcentral describes it as "bacterial SSU rRNA". It matches the Rfam family "Bacterial small subunit ribosomal RNA", at positions 13 to 520 of the family's 1533-position model. The record is from RNAcentral. Lineage: Bacteria; Bacillati; Bacillota; Bacilli; Lactobacillales; Enterococcaceae.